AAGUCGUAACAAGGUUUCCGUAGGUGAACCUGCGGAAGGAUCAUUAACACGUAUCCAACGUUAAACAACCCUGUGAACUUUCAACGCUCUUGUAACCAGGCGGAACAGCAAUCCCGGUAAAUCAGUGGGCGGAAAGUUUUGAUUCGGGACCUCUGUCCAAAAGUUACAAUCGAGCUAGGCAGUGCAGAAGGAUCCACUGAGUAAGGAUAACGCAUCACGGUUGCCAGAGGUCGAUCACCGGCCGGCAGACAUGUCACAGGGCUUAUGCCCCUUCAUUCACACCUUGCUCUCUCAUGCCCGCCGGAAACGCCGGGCACAAAAACCGAACAACUGUUAACAAUGGAUAUCUUGGUUCUC
RNAcentral lists this unclassified non-coding RNA (357 nucleotides) under fungal sp. RNAcentral describes it as "partial internal transcribed spacer region". The stretch from base 1 to 46 matches the Rfam family "Eukaryotic small subunit ribosomal RNA", at positions 1786 to 1831 of the family's 1831-position model. Lineage: Eukaryota; Fungi. The record is from RNAcentral.